UACAGAGGGUGCGAGCGUUAAUCGGAAUUACUGGGCGUAAAGCGCGCGUAGGCGGCUUGUCAAGUCGGGUGUGAAAACUCCAGGCUCAACCUGGAGACGCCACUCGAGACUGUCAUGGCUAGAGUCCGGUAGGGGAUCACGGAAUUCCUGGUGUAGCGGUGAAAUGCGCAGAUAUCAGGAGGAACACCGGUGGCGAAGGCGGGUCUCUGGGCCGAUAUUGACGCUGGAGGAGCGAAAGCGUGGGGAGCGAACAGG
This 255-nucleotide ribosomal RNA is filed under the name uncultured bacterium. RNAcentral's name for it is "partial 16S ribosomal RNA". It matches the Rfam family "Bacterial small subunit ribosomal RNA", at positions 524 to 776 of the family's 1533-position model. The record is from RNAcentral.